GACGAACGCUGGCGGCGUGCCUAAUACAUGCAAGUCGAACGCACAGUUUAUACCGUAGCUUGCUACACCAUAGACUGUGAGUUGCGAACGGGUGAGUAACGCGUAGGUAACCUGCCUGGUAGCGGGGGAUAACUAUUGGAAACGAUAGCUAAUACCGCAUAAUAUUAAUUAUUGCAUGAUAAUUGAUUGAAAGAUGCAACUGCAUCACUACCAGAUGGACCUGCGUUGUAUUAGCUAGUAGGUGAGGUAACGGCUCACCUAGGCGACGAUACAUAGCCGACCUGAGAGGGUGAUCGGCCACACUGGGACUGAGACACGGCCCAGACUCCUACGGGAGGCAGCAGUAGGGAAUCUUCGGCAAUGGACGAAAGUCUGACCGAGAAACGCCGCGUGAGUGAAGAAGGGUUUCGGAUCGUAAAGCUCUGUUGUAAGAGAAGAACGGGUGUGAGAGUGGAAAGUUCACACUGUGACGGUAUCUUACCAGAAAGGGACGGCUAACUACGUG
This 505-nucleotide ribosomal RNA is filed under the name uncultured bacterium. RNAcentral's name for it is "partial 16S ribosomal RNA". It matches the Rfam family "Bacterial small subunit ribosomal RNA", at positions 28 to 507 of the family's 1533-position model. The record is from RNAcentral.